AGCGAACGCUGGCGGCAGGCUUAACACAUGCAAGUCGAGCGGGCACUUCGGUGUCAGCGGCAGACGGGUGAGUAACACGUGGGAACGUACCCUUCGGUUCGGAAUAACGCUGGGAAACUAGCGCUAAUACCGGAUACGCCCUUUUGGGGAAAGGUUUACUGCCGAAGGAUCGGCCCGCGUCUGAUUAGCUAGUUGGUGGGGUAAUGGCCUACCAAGGCGACGAUCAGUAGCUGGUCUGAGAGGAUGAUCAGCCACACUGGGACUGAGACACGGCCCAGACUCCUACGGGAGGCAGCAGUGGGGAAUAAUGGACAAUGGGCGCAAGCCUGAUCCAGCCAUGCCGCGUGAGUGAUGAAGGCCUUAGGGUUGUAAAGCUCUUUUGUCCGGGACGAUAAUGACGGUACCGGAAGAAUAAGCCCCGGCUAACUUCGUG
RNAcentral lists this ribosomal RNA (433 nucleotides) under uncultured bacterium. RNAcentral describes it as "partial 16S ribosomal RNA". It matches the Rfam family "Bacterial small subunit ribosomal RNA", at positions 29 to 507 of the family's 1533-position model. The record is from RNAcentral.